CAAAAGAAUGCCUGCAAUAGAAAGACUUGGGUCCUCGAAACUUCUCGCAGGCCCUCCCUGAGCUUUGGGCUCCCUGCUGUGGGGGUCAGGCCUGAGGUGAGAAGAUGGCUGUACAGGUAAGUGCUCCCCCCUCACUCAGCCCUCUUCCAUCUUCCCCCCUCUUCCUGUGGUCCUGGGGUCAAUCCUGACAUGUCUCUGGACCUAGUCCCCUCUUUUCCUGCCAACGUCAGGAUGCUCACCAGCCAAUUGCAGCAGAGAGAACUUGAGGGCCCAGCUUUAGCUGGGCCUGUCCAGGAGCCUUCUGCCCAACACCCUGCUUGAGCCCCGCAGCCAGGCCCUGUGGGAUGUUACCCCAGUUACCUAGACAACCGCAUUGAGUCUUUUUCCCCUCACUCCCCAGCCACUGCCUAACCAGCUGGGGUUUUCUGGCCACCAUUCAUUGGCCUAGGGUGGGAACCCAUUGUCCCCUUACCUGUCCUCCCAACGCUGCAAGCUUAUUUCAGGUUCCCCCUCCCCUGCCAUCUCAUCCUCUGAACCCCACAGGGGCUCUGGUCUCUAAACAGCGACUCUGCGCUCCAUACAGGCAGGAACACAACUGCCUCACAAUAAACGUGUGUUGCAAAAAAAUGAA
Long non-coding RNA from Pteropus alecto (black flying fox), 631 nucleotides. RefSeq lists it as uncharacterized. The record is from RefSeq and is a predicted model, not a curated record. The transcript has 2 exons. Lineage: Eukaryota; Metazoa; Chordata; Mammalia; Chiroptera; Pteropodidae.